UACAGAGGUCCCAAGCGUUGUUCGGAAUCACUGGGCGUAAAGGGUGCGUAGGCGGUAUGGUAAGACUCAUGUGAAAUCUCUGUGCUCAACGCAGAGGCUGCAUGAGAGACUGCUGUGCUGGAGGAUUGGAAGGGAGACUGGAAUUCUUGGAGUAGCAGUGAAAUGCGUAGAUAUCAAGAGGAACACCAGUGGCGAAGGCGAGUCUCUGGACAAAACCUGACGCUGAGGCACGAAAGCCAGGGGAUCAAAC
RNAcentral lists this ribosomal RNA (250 nucleotides) under uncultured prokaryote. RNAcentral's name for it is "partial 16S ribosomal RNA". It matches the Rfam family "Bacterial small subunit ribosomal RNA", at positions 524 to 773 of the family's 1533-position model. The record is from RNAcentral.